Molecule: non-coding RNA, 36 nt
Filed under: Geotalea daltonii FRC-32
Lineage: Bacteria; Pseudomonadati; Thermodesulfobacteriota; Desulfuromonadia; Geobacterales; Geobacteraceae
Source: RNAcentral
ACUGUGCCUGCUGUCACGCCCCCGGCUGGCUCUCUC